Molecule: ribosomal RNA, 468 nt
Filed under: uncultured bacterium
Lineage: Bacteria
Description: partial 16S ribosomal RNA
Rfam family: Bacterial small subunit ribosomal RNA
Source: RNAcentral
GACGAACGCUGGCGGCGUGCUUAACACAUGCCAGUCGAACGGACAGGCCCUGCUUUUGUGGGGUGCUCGAGUGGCGAACGGGUGAGUAACACGUGAGUAACCUGCCCUUGACUUUGGGAUAACUUCAGGAAACUGGGGCUCAUACCGGAUAGGAGCUCCUGCUGCAUGGUGGGGGUUGGUAAGUUUCGGCGGUUGGGGAUGGAAUCGCGGCUUAUCAGCUUGUUGGUGGGGUAGUGGCUUACCAAGGCUUUGACGGGUAGCCGGCCUGAGAGGGUGACCGGCCACAUUGGGACUGAGAUACGGCCCAGACUCCUACGGGAGGCAGCAGUGGGGAAUAUUGCACAAUGGGCGGAAGCCUGAUGCAGCAACGCCGCGUUCGGGAUGACGGCCUUCGGGUUGUAAACCGCUUUCGCCUGUGACGAAGCGUGAGUGACGGUAAUGAGUAAAGAAGCACCGGCUAACUACGUG